GCUGGGUGUAGCAGUGCACGCCUGUAAUCCCAGUGGCUUGGGAGGCUGAGGCAGGAGAAUUGAGAGUUCAAAGCCAGCCUCAGCAAAAGCAAGACACUAAGCAACUCAGUGAGACCCUGUCUCUAAAUAAAAUACAAAAUAGGGCUGGGGAUGUGGCUCAGUGGUCGAGUGCCCCUGAGUUCAAUCCCCNCAUCUCUAAAUUGCUGAGGCUGGCUUUGAACUCAAGAUCCUCCGCCUCAG
RNAcentral lists this small RNA (240 nucleotides) under Marmota monax (woodchuck). Lineage: Eukaryota; Metazoa; Chordata; Mammalia; Rodentia; Sciuridae. The record is from RNAcentral.